RNAcentral lists this ribosomal RNA (136 nucleotides) under uncultured eukaryote. RNAcentral describes it as "partial 18S ribosomal RNA". It matches the Rfam family "Eukaryotic small subunit ribosomal RNA", at positions 1299 to 1458 of the family's 1831-position model. The record is from RNAcentral.
UCGUGGAAUGAUUUGUCUGGUUAAUUCCGUUAACGAACGAGACUUUAACUUGCUAGUUGGAAUACAUGCUAUUUCUGCAUGAAUUCCUCUAGAAGGACCAUGUGUAUCUAACACAAGGAAGCGUGAAGCAAUAACA